GUUUACCAAAAACAUGGCUUCUUGAAAUAAAUAAAAUAGGGAGUCGGACCUGCCCAGUGAAAAUUUUAAACGGCCGCGGUACCCUGACCGUGCAAAGGUAGCAUAAUCAUUUGCCUUAUAAUUGAAGGCUAGCAUGAAUGGUUUGACAAGAAUAAAACUGUCUCUUUAUAAUUAAUUAGAAUUUUAUCUUAGGGUGAAGAAGCCCUAAUAAAAUUAAAAGACAAGAAGACCCUAUCGAGCUUUAAAAAAAUCUAUAGAAAUCAAUUAGUAAUUAAUUUAAAUAAAAUUGGCUAUUUGAAUAUUUUAGUUGGGGCGACUAAGGAACAAGUAAAGCUUCCUUUUAUAGCAGUAUAACAUAUAGGUAUUGACCCAAAAUUUUUGGUCAGAAAAAUUAGUUACCGUAGGGAUAACAGCAUUAUCUUUUUUGAGAGUUCUUAUCGAAAAGAAGGUUUGUGACCUCGAUGUUGGACCAGAAUAUCCCAAAGAUGCAGAAGUCUUUAAAGGUUGGUCUGUUCGACCAUUAAAAUUCUACGUGAUCUGAGUUCAGACCGG
This 552-nucleotide ribosomal RNA is filed under the name Turris undosa. RNAcentral's name for it is "partial 16S ribosomal RNA". It matches the Rfam family "Bacterial large subunit ribosomal RNA", at positions 1802 to 2619 of the family's 2925-position model. Lineage: Eukaryota; Metazoa; Mollusca; Gastropoda; Neogastropoda; Turridae. The record is from RNAcentral.